GACGAACGCUGGCGGCGUGCUUAACACAUGCAAGUCGAACGGAAAGGCCCUGCUUUUGUGGGGUGCUCGAGUGGCGAACGGGUGAGUAACACGUGAGUAACCUGCCCUUGACUUUGGGAUAACUUCAGGAAACUGGGGCUAAUACCGGAUAGGAGCUCCUGCUGCAUGGUGGGGGUUGGAAAGUUUCGGCGGUUGGGGAUGGACUCGCGGCUUAUCAGCUUGUUGGUGGGGUAGUGGCUUACCAAGGCUUUGACGGGUAGCCGGCCUGAGAGGGUGACCGGCCACAUUGGGACUGCGAUACGGACCAGACUCCUACGGGAGGCAGCAGUGGGGAAUAUUGCACAAUGGGCGGAAGCCUGAUGCAGCAACGCCGCGUGCGGGAUGCCGGCCUUCGGGUUGUAAACCGCUUUCGCCUGUGACGAAGCGUGAGUGACGGUAAUGGGUAAAGAAGCACCGGCUAACUACGUG
Molecule: ribosomal RNA, 468 nt
Filed under: uncultured bacterium
Lineage: Bacteria
Description: partial 16S ribosomal RNA
Rfam family: Bacterial small subunit ribosomal RNA
Source: RNAcentral